CCUACGGGGGGCAGCAGUGGGGAAUAUUGGGCAAUGGAGGCAACUCUUACCCAGCAAUGCCGCGUGAAUGAAGAAGGUCUUCGGAUUGUAAAGUUCUUUAAUUGGGGACGAAAAAAAUGACGGUACCUAAGGAAUAAGCCCCGGCUAACUACGUGCCAGCAGCCGCGGUAAUACGUAGGGGGCAAGCGUUGUUCGGAAUGACUGGGCGUAAAGGGUGCGUAGGCGGUGUAGCAAGUUAGAAGUGAAAUACCUAGGGCUUAACUUAGAUGCUACUACUAAAACUGUUAGACUUGAGUGCAGUAGAGGAAAGUGGAAUUCCUAGUGUAGCGGUGGAAUGCGUAGAUAUUAGGAGGAACACCAGUGGCGAAGGCGACUUGCUGGACUGUAACUGACGCUGAGGCACGAAAGUGUGGGGAGCAAACAGGAUUAGAUACCCGAGUAGUC
RNAcentral lists this ribosomal RNA (444 nucleotides) under uncultured bacterium. RNAcentral describes it as "partial 16S ribosomal RNA". It matches the Rfam family "Bacterial small subunit ribosomal RNA", at positions 338 to 795 of the family's 1533-position model. The record is from RNAcentral.